This 338-nucleotide ribosomal RNA is filed under the name Triticum aestivum (bread wheat). RNAcentral describes it as "partial small subunit ribosomal RNA". The record is from RNAcentral. Lineage: Eukaryota; Viridiplantae; Streptophyta; Magnoliopsida; Poales; Poaceae.
AGAAGAAUUUCCAAGGUUUCUAGUGCAGCUAUUUUAACACAGAGUGGUGUGAACAUUCUAACAUCUCCUGGAGUUUCAGGGGUCAUUCCCUUCGAUGAAGUUGGCAUGGAAGAGGUUUUCAUUUUCUUUGGGCUGAUUGCUGCUUUCUCCAAACCCGAGGCAUGUGAAUUUUGUAUUUGUGGUUCUUGCUUCCUCUUCUUGGAGUAACUUUUUGACGAAGAUUCACUAGUCCCUUUUGAUGGAUUUGUGCUGAAUAGAGUCAUUUCUUUUACACAAUUAUCAUCCAGAUCACCAACUGCAUUGCUGACUAUUACCUCUAACAAAUGGAGAGACAUUCC